RNAcentral lists this transfer RNA (68 nucleotides) under Trigonopoma gracile (blackstripe rasbora). Its description in RNAcentral is "tRNA-Ser". The record is from RNAcentral. Lineage: Eukaryota; Metazoa; Chordata; Actinopteri; Cypriniformes; Danionidae.
GAGAAAGAAAGAAAAGAAUAAAUCCUGCUAAGACUUAUUAACCAUGGUUAAAUUCCAUGGCUUACUCA